UGAAUGAAUUAUUUUCCUUUGACAUCUCUUUCCUUUCUAGGGCCUUGCCAGCCAGUAAUUGCUGCCGUUCAGGUUCCCUGCCAAAACUACGAGGUCCAGAUCUCCUGGAAUUAUACAGAGGGUGCUAUGAAUUACCUGGUCAAGACCGCAGGGAAUCGUGGGUAUAUGAAGACCCACAACACGACACAAAGCUUUCUGUACAGCACUUUACCAUGUGGACAAGAGUUCAACGUCACUGUUCAAGGACAGGGCAGCGUGUGUGACAGCACCCCCAGCAGUCCCGCCUUCUUCAAAACUGGCCCAUGCAUCCCCUCAAAUGUAACAACCCAAGUGCAGUGCGAGCUUAAUCGGGGCUCUGUCAGCUGGAGGCCAAGCGAUGGUGCUGAAUUCUAUAUUGUCAUUGCAACUGGUGUGGAUAACCACACUCACCAAUGUCUCACCAACACAACCUCCUGCACCUGGACUGACCUGCACUGUGGGGAGGAGUACACUGUUGUGGUGAGAGCAAAGACCACCAAUUGCAGCAGCCUGCCAAGCAACAGCUCCAUCAUUUACACAGGUACUGAAAGUUUGUGAAUCAUGAGAGAUUUCACUUAGUAUGCAAGGACUUUGCAUUGAUUAGAACAUCAGACCGCUUAAAUGUCACUCAACAUCUUUACUUUCCUGCAGGUCCCUGUGCACCGCAAAAUUUGGAUGCAACUGUUAACUGUGGAACAAAAGUUGUUGCUUUGAAAUGGAAUGCCUCCAACAGGACUCAUUUGUACACAGUAUCAGCUGAAGGGGGAGAUAAAUCAGUUAGUCUCCAGAGUAAUACAACCACAGCCCUCCUCUCUGAGCUCACAUGUGGACAAAACUACAGCCUGACAGUCACACCUUACAGCCAACACUGCGUGGGGAACUACAACGCGUACGCCUCUGUGCUGACCUGUACGUGCUGUUUCAACACUAUGUUUAUUAUCAUAAACACAAUUUUCAAAGUUUUGAUCAAAGUGGUGUUUUUUUGCUAGGGCCAUGUAAACCUGCAGGAGUCUUUGCAACACAGGCUUGCCUUUCCAAUUCCGUCAUGGUGGCAUGGCAGCCAAGCAAUGGCACGGAGUAUUACACCGCCGCCGUGCAAACAGUGAAUGGCGUUUCAAAAUUUUGCAAGACCAACACAAGCGCAUGCACUGUUAAUGCACUGAUGUGUGGAGAAAACUACUCUGUGUCUGUCACGGCUUCCAACAAACAGUGUAAUGUCACUUCCAGUCAAACCACGAGUGUGCAGUCAGUGCCUUGUAGUCCCACUAAUGUAUCCGUGUUCAUGGACUGCUCCAACAAUUCUGCUUUGGUGUCCUGGUCUGCCAGUCGUGGCGCUGUGAAGUACUCUGUGAACGCCAUCAGCAGUCACGGCAAUGACAGCUGUCAGACAUCUGGUCUUGCCUGUCGUCUCAGCCUUGCAUGUGGCAGCCUUUACACUGUUCAGGUUGUUGCCAUGGAUGACAACUGCUCAAGUUUUCCCAGCACUCCUGUGGAGUUCACCUCAGGUGGGAGAUUUGACUCCACUUGACAGGAUAGCAACACUCCAUCAGUUGAUUAAAUCAUUAUAUUUUAUGUUUUCAGGUCCCUGUCCACCUAGUAAUGUGAGUGCCCAAAUUACAUGUCAGUCAAGCAAUAUGAAUGUUUACUGGAACGCCAUCAGAGAUGCCGACCACUUUUUAGUAUCAUUAACUUCUGUGAAUAGAACUAUUCAGUUAUGCAACACCACAACUACUACAUGCUUCAUCAGCAAUGCAACAUGUGGAGAAACAUUUACCAUCCAAGUCACCUCCGUGAGAGGCAAAUGUCUCAGUCAGCCCCAUCAAACCUCCACCAUCCAGACAGGUUGGCAGCUGCUUUAUUUUUAAUUGGAUUGUCCUUUGCAGAAAUCCCUCCCUCUUACUAGAAACUUUGUUGCUUAUUUCUUAGCUCCCUGCCAGCCUAAAGGAGUAAAUGGCUACAUUGACUGUGUAUCGAACUCGGCUUGGAUCACGUGGGACACUGCUCUCGGAGCGAGCAACUAUACAGUGUCAGCUGUAGGUUCAGGGAUCUCCAAAACCAACUGCACUUCCAUCACAGACACGAGAUGUGAGGUGAAGGACCUAGCCUGUGGUGUAUCGUUCAACUUCACAGUUACUGCUACAAACAGCAGGUGUGACAGUCAACCAAGUGCUCCUUUCAGCUUGGAAACAGGUAUUUACAAUCUAAAGUUUAUUUGUGAAAUAUUUGUUCGUGCAGCCGAGUGAAACUCAUGUAAUCUAUACUCCCUCAGCCCCCUGUUCGCUCUCUGCAAUCACUGCUUUUACUCAGUGCCACAACUCCUCCAUCCUGGUGAUAUGGGAUCUGAACGGCAGCAGGGGAACUUCUGCGUACAUCGCCACAGCUGAAGCCAGUGACCAUACCUAUCUGACCUGUAAUAGCACCAGCAGCAGCUGCUACCUGUCUGGGGCGAAGUGUGACCUUCAGUACACCAUCAUAGUCGCAGCAUCUUCAGACCGCUGCAGCAGUCUGAGAA
Molecule: long non-coding RNA, 2530 nt
Organism: Oryzias javanicus (javanese ricefish)
Lineage: Eukaryota; Metazoa; Chordata; Actinopteri; Beloniformes; Adrianichthyidae
Source: Ensembl